GACGAACGCUGGCGGCGUGCUUAACACAUGCAAGUCGAACGAAGUGGCGAACGGGUGAGUAACACGUAAUCAACCUGCCCUUCAGAGGGGGACAACAGUUGGAAACGACUGCUAAUACCGCAUACUGAAGGAGGGGAGUGCGUCUGUUUAGCUGGUUGGAGGGGUCACGGCCCACCAAGGCGAGGAUCAGUAGCCGGACUGAGAGGAUGAACGGGCACAUUGGGACUGAGAAACGGGCCAGACUCCUACGGGAGGCAGCAGUGGGGAAUCUUCCGCAAUGGACGAAAGUCUGACGGAACAACGCCGGGGGAGUGAUGACGGCCUUCGGGUUGGAAAGCUCUGUUAAUCGGGACGCGGUACCGGAAUAGAAAGCCACGGCUAACUACGUGCCAGCAGCCGCGGUAAUUC
RNAcentral lists this ribosomal RNA (408 nucleotides) under uncultured bacterium. RNAcentral describes it as "partial 16S ribosomal RNA". It matches the Rfam family "Bacterial small subunit ribosomal RNA", at positions 28 to 526 of the family's 1533-position model. The record is from RNAcentral.